RNAcentral lists this ribosomal RNA (661 nucleotides) under Chaetoceros curvisetus. Its description in RNAcentral is "partial 28S ribosomal RNA". It matches the Rfam family "Eukaryotic large subunit ribosomal RNA", at positions 74 to 770 of the family's 3401-position model. The record is from RNAcentral. Lineage: Eukaryota; Bacillariophyta; Thalassiosirophyceae; Chaetocerotales; Chaetocerotaceae.
AUUCCCUCAGUAAGGGCGACUGAAGCGGGAAGAGCUCACCGUGUGAAUCGAUAUUUAUAUCGAGUUGUGGUCUGUAGAAGCAUUGUCGGUCGACGUUCCGCGCUAAGUCUCUUGGAAAAGAGCAGCUGAGAGGGUGACACUCCCGUUCUUGCGUGGAAUGUGCGAUCAUGGCACGUGCCUUCGACGAGUCGAGUUGCUUGGGAUUGCAGCUCAAAUGCGUGGUAUACUCCAUGUAAAGCUAAAUAUAGUUAGAAGACCGAUAGCGUACAAGUACUGUGAAGGAAAGAUGCAAAGAACUUUGAAAAGAGAGUUAAAGAGUACCUGAAAUUGCUGAAAGGGAAGCGAAUGGAAACAGUGUGUUUCCGUACCAUUCUUCCUUCGCGACUUGUCGCGGGGGCGCUGUGGUGCGGAGUCGGUCAGCAUGGGUUUGGGUCGGGACAUAUAGCCCUUCAGGAGGCAUGCGUCUUUUCGCAGAUUACUGUUUGGUGUUGUCCUGGCCUGGAUCGAGGCUAGUAUUUCGUGAUGCUGACGAAAUGAUUCUAUUCACCCCGUCUUGAAACACGGACCAAGGAGUCUAACAUAUGUGCGAGUAUAGGAGGGGCAACCUCAUAUGCGCAAUGAAAGUAACAGUGGUUGGACCUUUGGGCACAAUCCGCCGGCC